GGUAAGAUGUUCUCAGAUGACAUAAUCA
Molecule: small RNA, 28 nt
Filed under: Arabidopsis thaliana (thale cress)
Lineage: Eukaryota; Viridiplantae; Streptophyta; Magnoliopsida; Brassicales; Brassicaceae
Description: ATSL013110
Source: RNAcentral